RNAcentral lists this ribosomal RNA (468 nucleotides) under uncultured bacterium. Its description in RNAcentral is "partial 16S ribosomal RNA". It matches the Rfam family "Bacterial small subunit ribosomal RNA", at positions 28 to 507 of the family's 1533-position model. The record is from RNAcentral.
GACGAACGCUGGCGGCGUGCUUAACACAUGCAAGUCGAACGGAAAGGCCCUGCUUUUGUGGGGUGCACGAGUGGCGAACGGGUGAGUAACACGUGAGUAACCUGUCCCUGACUUUGGGAUAACUUCAGGAAACUGGGGCUAAUACCGGAUAGGAGCUCCUGCUGCACGGGGGUGGUUGGAAAGUUUCGGCGGUUGGGGAUGGACUCGCGGCUUAUCAGCCUGUUGGUGGAGUAGUGGCUUACCAAGGCUUUGACGGGUAGCCGGCCUGGGAGGGUGACCGGCCACAUUGGGACUGAGAGACGGCCCAGACUCGUACGGGACGCAACAGUCGGAAGUAUUGCACAAUGGCCGGAAGCCUGAUGCAGCAACCCCGCGUUCGGGAUGACGGCCUUCGAGUUGUAAACCACUUUCGCCUGAGACGAAGCGUUAGUGACGGUAAUGGGUAAAGAAGCACCGGCUAACUACGUG